AUGACGUCAUUUCCGCAAUUAUUUAAUAGGAAUUGAUUUGACUUACUUCCGUUUGCCGCCAUUUUAGUCACCUGGGGGCGAGCUUGCUCGGAGUUCUUCAUAGAGAGCUCACCAGGAGGCCUUCUUGGGAUGCUGUGCAUCGUCUCUGCUCAAUAAUACAAGUUUUAUUGUUUUGUAAAACUUGUACUAUUAUUCGGCAUGUGACGAUGCACAGCAUCUGGUGAGAGACUUGUUUAUUAGCUCCUGGUGACUACUUACCAAUGGCGCUAUGUGAUGAAAGUUUUCGAGUUUCUGUAACAGAACUAGAUUAGAACAUGAUUAAUUUCAGGGUAUUAACAUGUUUUGUUCUAAAUGCCCAGUGAGAGCAGCACUAAUAUCACAAAGUAGGAGGGUUUGUACUUUUGUAUGUUUGAAAUGAAUAAACUGGAAAGCUACUGAACUGAAUUCAGAAAUUCUUUCCUCAUUAAAAUGCAGAUUGAGUGUGUAUUGAUAUAAUUUGCCCGUAUGGCAGUAAGAUUCAUGCGAGUCAUCAACAUAAGUUUAUAAUACAGGCGUACGAUGUGAUUGAAGAGUAUCCAACAUGCAUGCUUUAGAUCUGUUGAUUGAAAGUUAUUAAUUAAAUAAUAUGUUAUUUGGUGUAUCGGUCGUAGAUCAGUUAAUAAAAGUGUCUGCCUUAUAAUAUUGCUAUUAUUGUUCUGCCUACACCAAUAUCUCAUCAAAUAAUUUCAUCUAUGGCUAAAUAUCACCCAAAUUAAAGAUGCCAGAACGAAGUCAACAAUGCCAGGAGAGGUUUUAAAUCCAACAACCUUUAUCUGUACACUUUUAUACUGUUUUUAUCCAUGUAGAUUCCUAGCAUUACUUGGUGUUGAAAAAAAAAAAAUAAAUAAAUAAUGUGUUAUUAUAUUCCGCUGUUCGCCUCUGCUCGCCUGAUUCCAGUAACUUACGCAACCGUAGCAAGGGCAUACCUAUGUUGUUUUUUGGGAUUUGCUGUCAUUUUUCCCAGUUGUUUGUAUGAUGCCGUAACGGUGCCGAACUUACUCGUAGGUCAAGGUUUAUUAACUUAAUCUUGAAAUUAUUCAGGUGAGACUAUGUUUUGUCAUGUCAGCAGCUGAUAUAGAUGGUAGGAGAAAAAUAUACAUAAGCUAGUCUACGAGAAGCCUCGUAAAGGUCACAUUUUAGAUACCUACUGUUGGGUUUAAGGCCUUUAUCAGGAAGUGAAAUUGGUUAAGCUUUUAUGCUUAGUAAGAAAAUUAAAGUUAUCUUUAAUAUAGUUUUAGAUUAGUAAUACCAGCCCCCCUAGACAAGUAGCACUUUUUGAUCGAAUCGAAAAUUGGAUACGUUAUAACUUCGUAUAGAAAAAAGAAGGCUAAUCGACCAUCCUUCGACUGGUUUGCGAUUUUAAAGUAAAUUUUGUCUAGACCCACAGGGCAUAAAGGUAGUAGAAGAGUAGAUAAACGAUUUAGUCUAGCAAAUAAAUCUUGCUGUCGAGCUUCAAGAGGUAAGUAUAUAGCUACGACUGUUUUCCUUAGGCCAUUAGUUUAACCACCAAGGCCAGGUUAUUUUAUAAGUUUUUAAAGUGGAUUUUUGCCAGGUAUGUUUUAGGAACGAUACCUUAUUACCCCCAACUCAACAUACUAAAAAGUUACAUGUUACCUGAUCCUGACGUGGAGGUCACCAUGUGGUAAGAACAUGGUGGAGAUUCUGUAUUUUGAGGGUCGGUCUCGAACCCUAAGAAAAGAGCUAAGAAAAGCCAGAAAGGUCACUUCGAGGUGCUAAGCAGGUACCUUUUGCUGUAGUGAGAAACGGGACAGCAAAGAUUUAGCCUAGUUUACCACCAUAGCCACCCUGGUUGAAGUCGUUGCAAAGGCUGCUGGUGAAUCUCUGUGGGGUCUCUGGAUAUCCAGUUUCCCGAACUUUUGGAAUAUUUACCUUUGGAUUUGAACCCAGGAGAUGCCACUAAGUAGGUUGUUUUCCCCGUAAAUCGACCUAGAUCGUCAGAUAAAUUUGAUUGAAUCGACCUGGGAGAUAAUAUUUUGCGCUGCCAGAGCUAUUUUUACCCGACUGAACCGAAAGGGGGUGAUGUUUUUCAAGUUGAAAAGUUAGAGAGACAGUUCCAAUAGAGGCUCUGAAUGUGCCCCUUCCUCCCUUAGUUUCGAGUAUAGGCUAUGCUUUGAUUGUCCGAUAGCAAAAUUAGUGAACGCACAUGAAAUGAAUGAAAGAAUGAGAAAUCCCCCAUCGCUGAUUAUGAUUUCUGAUAUUUUGCAGACAUCCAGAUUGUUGUUAAGAGAUGCUGAGCUGGAGUCUUGUGUAUUGAAUCGGUUGUGUGGGGUCGAGUUGUAAUGUGACGAGCCCUCACUGGAGAUCAAGCUUACCAUUAUAGGCACUUGUUGAGUCGUAUAGAUUUCGUAUUUACCGACUAAAUCCUUAGAGAUGACGACUUGUUGAAACUGAGUUCACGUAAUUGACAAGGUUUAAAGUGUUCCCGAAGAUAAAUGUUACACACUAACCUUCCGUUCUAGUAGUUGCUGUCUCGUCUGGUUUGUCAAAGGUGACGAGGUUUAGUAAGUAGUUUGUGAUUGUAUUAAUGUUUUUCGGUAUGCAGUAGAGAACGAGAGAUUGAUAAUUUUAGGGUACCUUGACAAGACAUGCGGAGAGGCCGGCGGUGUCUCUGUGAUCGGUAUCUGCAUCCAGAUAUAGAAUUUAGCAUUCAACUACUUCAGAUCAGAUCAAUACUUACAUACUUGUAUCUACUGAUUAGAACGUUUAAUAGAAUAGGUUGUUUGGUCUGUCCUUCUUGCGAAGGAAUAUUGUGAGGAGCAGGCUCAUGCUGAGCGGUGCCUUAUCUGGUAAUUUCAGCACCUGUUUUAACAGGAUUUCGGUUUAUUUGGUCAGCGUUAGACAGUCAAGAGUGUUAAAACGCUGAAUAAAGCACGGCGUUGAAGGGACAAGCACCGGCUUGGAGGUGAAUGGCAGACGCAUCCCUGGAACCAUUGUCAGGUAACAGGUUGACCUCCGCAGUCUGAUGACGCCUGCCACUGCCUAAGAUACGCUCAAAGGCAGCCUCCGUAGAAUUUGCUGAGUGGAAAGUCACUUGACUUUGCUAUUCUUAUUUGGUCAGCGCUAGACAGUCAAGAGUGUUGAGACGCUGAAUAAAGCACGGCGUUGCAGGUGCAGGGGCAAGCACCGGCUUGGAGGUGAAUGGCAGACGCAUCCCUGGAACCAUUGUCAGGUAACAGGUUGACCUCCGCAGUCUGAUGACGCCUACCACUGCCUAAGAUACGCUCAAAGGCAGCCUCCGUAGAAUUUGCUGAGUGGAAAGUCACUUGACUUUGCUAUUCUUAUUUGGUCAGCGCUAGACAGUCAAGAGUGUUAAGACGCUGAAUAAAGCACGGCGUUGCAGGGGCAAGCAUCGGCUUGGAGGGACUGAUUUGGAAUCCUUGGCUUUUUGUUCUAAAUCAAAGGGAGUUAUUUUGAGGCUUAUGUAUUUGCUUUAAAGAUAAUAAGAUGUGUAGGUAAAGGUUACUUACUUAUUAGUAUUUGACGAUUUGUAAGAACUAAUUUAAUCAGUCUAAGCAAAUAAAGAUAUUAUUAUGUUUUGAUUUUGCUUGAAGUGACCGGCUAGAGAACCAAGGUCGGAUUAUUUUUUUGAUAUCACCAGUACGAGCACAGGGUGAUUUUGCCGAACAAAAAUCCAGCACUGGGAGGGUGCUCCUCGCACAAUGCUUAUUAGGAAUUUUAGCCAGAAUACGCUCGUGACAUGUUCAAAUUCAAAUUCAAAAACGUUUAUUGCAUUUCACAUUACAAUUUAUAUGUUGUUGCAAAAUAAAAGUAUACAUGUUCGAUGCACUUAGCACAUUUUUUCAUACUUAUUAAGCUUCUUGAUUUGCAAAAAACAUUAGAAUUUAAUAAUUCAAGCUGUAAGCUGGCUCAGUGUUGGGGUUGGCCACCCAGUCUACUAAUAGUUGUAGUUUAAAUGGGUAUUUAUUAAGAAACUCGUACCAGAAAGAGUUAUCGUUCGAUUGUGGUGAUGCUAACAACGUAUUUUGAUUGGUAAUGUUUGCGAUUGGGGCUGACGGGGCCGCCGUUAAAAUUGGAUAAGAUGGUUGUGGGUACGUUAUUCAAUCUAUUAAUACAAUAUAGAGAUUCGCGAGAAUGCUCAUUUGAUCGAAAAGAGUGUUAAAGCUAUCAGAAUCCCACGUACCUCGUUUCAUCCGUUUUGAAUCUCGCCGGGGUCCGAGUUUCUCCGGUAUCCGACGCUCUGGGUCCACCUGCUCGUCGUCCGGAAGACACUCGUCCCCUUUUGCGCCAACCACCAUCACGUACAUGUCGUUCGUGGUCACACACGCGCGGUCAAUUGCACUUUUUAAUUUUAAA
This is a long non-coding RNA of Ostrinia furnacalis (Asian corn borer), 4374 nucleotides long. RefSeq lists it as uncharacterized. Lineage: Eukaryota; Metazoa; Arthropoda; Insecta; Lepidoptera; Crambidae. The record is from RefSeq and is a predicted model, not a curated record. The transcript has 2 exons.